This 507-nucleotide ribosomal RNA is filed under the name uncultured bacterium. RNAcentral's name for it is "partial 16S ribosomal RNA". The record is from RNAcentral.
GGAGUUAGCCGGUGCUUCUUCUGUGGGUGAUGUCGUCCCUGCCGGCUAUUAACCCGCAGGCCUUCUUCCCCACUGAAAGUGCUUUACAACCCGAAAGCCUUCUUCACACACGCGGCAUGGCUGGAUCAGGGUUGCCCCCAUUGUCCAAUAUUCCCCACUGCUGCCUCCCGUAGGAGUCUGGGCCGUGUCUCAGUCCCAGUGUGGCUGAUCAUACUCUCAGACCAGCUACGGAUCGUCGCCUUGGUGAGCCGUUACCUCACCAACCAGCUAAUCCGACAUAGGCUCAUCCGAUAGCGCGAGGCCCGAAGGUCCCCCGCUUUCUCCCGUAGGACGUAUGCGGUAUUAGCCUGGGUUUCCCCAGGUUAUCCCCCACUACCGGGCAGAUUCCUAUGCAUUACUCACCCGUCCGCCGCUCGACGCCUCCUAGCAAGCUAGGAUCGUUUCCGCUCGACUUGCAUGUGUUAGGCCUGCCGCCAGCGUUCAAUCUGAGCCAGAAUCAAACUCUGA